RNAcentral lists this unclassified non-coding RNA (413 nucleotides) under uncultured Tylospora. Its description in RNAcentral is "sequence contains ITS2". The stretch from base 1 to 155 matches the Rfam family "5.8S ribosomal RNA". The record is from RNAcentral. Lineage: Eukaryota; Fungi; Basidiomycota; Agaricomycetes; Atheliales; Atheliaceae.
AACUUUUAGCAAUGGAUCUCUUGGCUCUCGCAACGAUGAAGGACGCAGCGAAAUGCGAUAAGUAAUGUGAAUUGCAGAUUUUCAGUGAAUCAUCGAAUCUUUGAACGCACCUUGCGCCCCUUGGUAUUCCGAGGGGCAUGCCUGUUUGAGUGUCAUCAAAUCCUCAACCCCCUCCGAUUUGUUUCGGUGGGGAUUGGACUUGGAGCGUGCUGGCGAAGGUCGGCUCCUCUUUAAAUGCAUCAGCGGAGAAAAUGCCUUUUGCGCCUCUGGCCGUUCAGCGUGAUAAUGACGUUGCGCUGCGGUCGAGCUCAAGGUCCGCUUCCAAAGGUCCUCGGACGAACGUAAACAUGACUUUUGACCUCAAAUCAGGUAGGACUACCCGCUGAACUUAAGCAUAUCAAUAAGCGGAGGCU